Molecule: unclassified non-coding RNA, 22 nt
Filed under: Mus musculus (house mouse)
Lineage: Eukaryota; Metazoa; Chordata; Mammalia; Rodentia; Muridae
Description: oocyte_clustered_small_RNA4593
Source: RNAcentral
CACAUCACCUCACCAGGCAGGG